UGCUGGUGCUGCAGUAGCCUUCACCAGAAAAUUGAAGUAUUAGAGAUCACAAUUCAGUUAUUUUCUUCACUUUAAUGAAAGUGUGUUUGCCCUACUAGAGGUGGUCAAAUUUCAUCAGGAGUCAAGAAGAAUCCCAGAAGGUAAGCUAUGUAGAUAUGACACAGGUUUUUGGAAAUUUUAAGUUAUUAGAGAUUCUCUGA
This 200-nucleotide long non-coding RNA is filed under the name Chinchilla lanigera (long-tailed chinchilla). Its description in RNAcentral is "lncRNA (ENSCLAG00000023142.1)". The record is from RNAcentral. Lineage: Eukaryota; Metazoa; Chordata; Mammalia; Rodentia; Chinchillidae.